CCCCUAGAUGUUCUGGGCCGCACGCGCGCUACACUGAACAGUUCAACAAGUCUUAACCUUGGCCGAUAGGUCUGGGUAAUCUUUGAACGCUGUUCGUGAUUGGGAUAGACCUUUGCAAUUAUGGGUCUUCAACGAGGAAUUCCUAGUAAACGCAAGUCAUCAGCUUGCAUUGAUUACGUCCCUGCCCUUUGUACACACCGCCCGUCGCACCUACCGUUUGAAUGGUCCGGUGAAAUCUCGGGACGGCGGCUUGGUCGCUUGCGUCCGACUGCUGAAACUUGAUUAAACCAUAUCAUUUAGAGGAAGGUGAAGUCGUAACA
RNAcentral lists this ribosomal RNA (320 nucleotides) under uncultured eukaryote. RNAcentral's name for it is "partial 18S ribosomal RNA". It matches the Rfam family "Eukaryotic small subunit ribosomal RNA", at positions 1470 to 1796 of the family's 1831-position model. The record is from RNAcentral.